UUGAAGAGUUUGAUCAUGGCUCAGAUUGAACGCUGGCGGCAGGCCUAACACAUGCAAGUCGAACGGUAGCACAGAGAGCUUGCUCUCGGGUGACGAGUGGCGGACGGGUGAGUAAUGUCUGGGAAACUGCCUGAUGGAGGGGGAUAACUACUGGAAACGGUAGCUAAUACCGCAUAACGUCGCAAGACCAAAGAGGGGGACCUUCGGGCCUCUUGCCAUCAGAUGUGCCCAGAUGGGAUUAGCUAGUAGGUGGGGUAACGGCUCACCUAGGCGACGAUCCCUAGCUGGUCUGAGAGGAUGACCAGCCACACUGGAACUGAGACACGGUCCAGACUCCUACGGGAGGCAGCAGUGGGGAAUAUUGCACAAUGGGCGCAAGCCUGAUGCAGCCAUGCCGCGUGUAUGAAGAAGGCCUUCGGGUUGUAAAGUACUUUCAGCGGGGAGGAAGGUGUUGUGGUUAAUAACCACAGCAAUUGACGUUACCCGCAGAAGAAGCACCGGCUAACUCCGUGCCAGCAGCCGCGGUAAUACGGAGGGUGCAAGCGUUAAUCGGAAUUACUGGGCGUAAAGCGCACGCAGGCGGUCUGUCAAGUCGGAUGUGAAAUCCCCGGGCUCAACCUGGGAACUGCAUUCGAAACUGGCAGGCUAGAGUCUUGUAGAGGGGGGUAGAAUUCCAGGUGUAGCGGUGAAAUGCGUAGAGAUCUGGAGGAAUACCGGUGGCGAAGGCGGCCCCCUGGACAAAGACUGACGCUCAGGUGCGAAAGCGUGGGGAGCAAACAGGAUUAGAUACCCUGGUAGUCCACGCCGUAAACGAUGUCGACUUGGAGGUUGUGCCCUUGAGGCGUGGCUUCCGGAGCUAACGCGUUAAGUCGACCGCCUGGGGAGUACGGCCGCAAGGUUAAAACUCAAAUGAAUUGACGGGGGCCCGCACAAGCGGUGGAGCAUGUGGUUUAAUUCGAUGCAACGCGAAGAACCUUACCUACUCUUGACAUCCAGAGAACUUAGCAGAGAUGCUUUGGUGCCUUCGGGAACUCUGAGACAGGUGCUGCAUGGCUGUCGUCAGCUCGUGUUGUGAAAUGUUGGGUUAAGUCCCGCAACGAGCGCAACCCUUAUCCUUUGUUGCCAGCGGUCCGGCCGGGAACUCAAAGGAGACUGCCAGUGAUAAACUGGAGGAAGGUGGGGAUGACGUCAAGUCAUCAUGGCCCUUACGAGUAGGGCUACACACGUGCUACAAUGGCGCAUACAAAGAGAAGCGACCUCGCAAGAGCAAGCGGACCUCAUAAAGUGCGUCGUAGUCCGGAUUGGAGUCUGCAACUCGACUCCAUGAAGUCGGAAUCGCUAGUAAUCGUAGAUCAGAAUGCUACGGUGAAUACGUUCCCGGGCCUUGUACACACCGCCCGUCACACCAUGGGAGUGGGUUGCAAAAGAAGUAGGUAGCUUAACCUUCGGGAGGGCGCUUACCACUUUGUGAUUCAUGACUGGGGUGAAGUCGUAACAAGGUAACCGUAGGGGAACCUGCGGUUGGAUCACCUCCUU
Molecule: ribosomal RNA, 1536 nt
Filed under: Enterobacter kobei
Lineage: Bacteria; Pseudomonadati; Pseudomonadota; Gammaproteobacteria; Enterobacterales; Enterobacteriaceae
Description: bacterial SSU rRNA
Rfam family: Bacterial small subunit ribosomal RNA
Source: RNAcentral